This is a long non-coding RNA of Octopus sinensis (East Asian common octopus), 93 nucleotides long. RefSeq lists it as uncharacterized. The transcript has 3 exons. The record is from RefSeq and is a predicted model, not a curated record. NCBI's taxonomy places the organism in Eukaryota, Metazoa, Mollusca, Cephalopoda, Octopoda, Octopodidae.
AUAUUCUUUUAUUCUUUUACUUGUUUCAGUCAUUUGACUGUGGCCAUGCUGCAGCAGCACCUUAAAGGGCUUUUUAAAAAAAAAUAUUGAGGC